GUCAGAUAUAAUUUAGCAACUAAACAACAAUUGUUUCCUUCACAUAAUAAACACAAUGAUUCAGAUAUAAGAAAGAAGCAAGGAAAGAACUGAAGAGAAUGUCAAAUUCAAAACAUUCAACUAAAUAUAAAUUGAUUGUGCAUUUUGCAAAUUCUUUCCCUUCACACCUCCUUUUGUAAAGUAAAAUCUGCCAUUUAUAGAACAUAUUCCCCGUAGAAAUACACUACAGAAAACUGAUCCAAUACAGGAGAGUUUUGUCAAAUACUUUCCUUCAAUAGAUGCUUUAAUUUGCUGAGGAAUAUAUGAUUGAUCUUAAUUUAUCUGUUUCGGGAACCCACCAAGACUUUUGGCAACAGCAUUUCUUCUUACCCUUCUCCUGCUAUUGAAAUAUAGCUGUUCUUUCUAAUAAUUGUCAUGGGGUUUAGGAGAAAAGAGGGGGAUUAUUUAUACAAGUGAAGGUUUUAGAAUCUUGAGCCCAGCCCACUUUGGAUCAAGAGGGCCUGUGUGGUGACACAUGGUCUGUUUUCAUUGGCCAAAGUCCUAAGACAUUCUAUCAGGCUCCUGGGCAUCACUGCCUUGAAGGGCUCAGAGUGGCUGAAUUAGUUUCAGGAUCUUUGGAAGCACUACCAUGGCUAGCUCUGUCCACUGGUUCUCCAGCCCUGGCUCAUCUGCAUUAGGGUUAGAUCUGAAAUGUCAGGAAAAACACAAGACCCAUCUGUUCCGCUGGAAGCUGACUUAACUAGUUCAGACCACCUCUGUUCAAAAUGAGAGUAACCUGGGGGUCCUCCUUAACUUGUAAGGGCAAUAAAUCUCCCACUGUAUUUUUCCUGCUUGUUGCCUCUUUUUAAAAAAAUUUUUGCCAUUCUAAAUACUGAUUCCUCAGUACAAGGUUGCAAAAAGUUUUGGAUUGUCACUCACUUGGGUUGUCCUUCUAGUUUGUGAAUCAGAAGGAUUGGGUUGAAGGCUUUCACAGGCAACAUCAUAACAGAGUAGCCUGAAAAAAAAAUUGCCCUCCCACAUCACCUCUGACAGAGAGAGAAAGGAAUGCUUCAGAGACUCUCUUGGCAGAAUAUCUUACUUUUGAAACCACCUCAAUCUGAUUUUGCUCCUUUGGGUAGCCAUUGUCUCUCUUCUGACCAUAUGGAUAAUGAGUCUGAAAAAAUUGAUUUUUAACUUGGAUUUCCCUUUAAGCCAUUUUUCAGAAUCUGAGGAUCACCGGAUAUUCGAGUUCAACACAACCCCUGCUCUCAAACAGAAUUGUAUACAGAAGUCUGAGACGUAGCUCACACAGAGGAGAAUGAGUCCUGCUGCUGCUGCCUGUCGUGGGCAGAACCAAGGAAUCAUUUCAGCAAACAGUUGCAAACACAGUUGUCUCACAGUUUCUGAACCUCCGGCGUGAACUCCACAAGUAAGCCAGCUGCCUCACACUCCCCGACCACUGGACUUGAAAGCAAUGAGGCAAAGAUGGCAAACGGUUCAGCACAACAUCACCAGCCAUGAGUUCAAUGAAAAACACUCAUCACUCUGCGAAUGAGUCGGAGGUAGCAUCAUUUUUCUAUUAAUAAAGGGACACAUCAUCAUCACCUUCUCAUCAGAAGAAUCCCCCAUUGCUCCUGUCCACUCUAAGUAUGUUCAGGGACCUGGAAGUCACAUCAUCUCAGAGAUGACCUAAGUCCAUGGCAUGUGGGCUUUCAGCUCCCUGACUAGCGAAGGAACCUGCAGUCCCUGCAUGGGAAGGAGAAGUCUUAACCACUGGACCUGUCAGGGGAGUUCCCUUCUUAAAUUUUCUGAGACUUGAAUUUAUCUAGAUCAUCAGGGAUUAUAAUAAUUAUCUCAUGGGACUGUAAGGAGGAGUAAAUGACAUGAUGGAUACAAAACACUCUGCGCAAUGCCUCGUACACUGUGUUCAGUAUAUCCUCGU
Odocoileus virginianus texanus is the source of this 1921-nucleotide non-coding RNA. NCBI's taxonomy places the organism in Eukaryota, Metazoa, Chordata, Mammalia, Artiodactyla, Cervidae. The record is from RefSeq and is a predicted model, not a curated record.